GGAGGGAUGGCAGAGUGGUUGAUUGCACCGGUCUUGAAAACCGGAGACGCCGUAAGGCGUUCGUGGGUUCGAAUCCCUCUCCCUCCG
RNAcentral lists this transfer RNA (87 nucleotides) under Telmatocola sphagniphila. It matches the Rfam family "tRNA". Rfam says of the family: Transfer RNA (tRNA) molecules are approximately 80 nucleotides in length. Their secondary structure includes four short double-helical elements and three loops (D, anti-codon, and T loops). Lineage: Bacteria; Pseudomonadati; Planctomycetota; Planctomycetia; Gemmatales; Gemmataceae. The record is from Rfam by way of RNAcentral.